GAAGUGUUUGAUUUUGGCUUAAUUUUUUACGUUAUUAUUAAGGUUGUAUGAAAGUUAUAGCAUGCUUGAAAAAUUUAGUUUUAUAUUAAGUUAAGAGUAGUAAGUAAGUGAAUUAUAAGUUAUAUGAUCUCAGCAUAAAUUAUUAAAAUAAUAUACAAAAGUAUGAAUUAGUAAUAAUAUAAAAAUCUGAUGAAUAUUU
Molecule: ribosomal RNA, 199 nt
Filed under: Discoplax gracilipes
Lineage: Eukaryota; Metazoa; Arthropoda; Malacostraca; Decapoda; Gecarcinidae
Description: partial 12S small subunit ribosomal RNA
Source: RNAcentral